UCCGUAGGUGAACCUGCGGAAGGAUCAUUACCAAAACACCUACGUUCCGUGAUCAACUCACGGACGUACAUUAUUUCUCAACCUGUGCACCGUUUACACCUGUGAACGCUACCCCCCACGUGCUCCUGGCCGCGUUUUGCGAUGGUUGCCUCAGGAACUCCGGUUCCUGUGGCCGUGGCCGAUUGUAGGAGGGCGUGUCUAAACAACCCCAAACACCAUCGUAACUUUUUUCAACCUUGUCAAACCGAUAGUUAUACAUAUCAUUCAAGGCUCUUCCCAAGAUUCUUUUAUGGAUCAAGGAAGUAGUCUGGUGCACGUUUCUUACGAGGAACGCGCGCCCGCAAUGAGAAUACAACUUUCAGCAACGGAUGUCUUGGCUCCCACAACGAUGAAGAACGCAGCGAAAUGCGAUACGUAAUGCGAAUUGCAGAAUUCCGCGAGUCAUCAAACCUUUGAACGCACCUUGCGCUUUCGGGAUAUGCCCGUUAGCAUGUUUGUUGGAGUGUCUGUUAACCCCAAUCACCACCUUGUUGUGAUCGAUUUACGAUUCGCAACAGGAUGUCGGUGGAUGUUAUUUGCUCCGUUGUGUUCACCCGCUGCGAUUUCUGUUGUCAACGUCCCCCGGGACCUGGCCAGAAGAUGGAGUGCGGGCGUGGAGUGAAGUACGGCCUGCCACAUAACAGUCACUGGGAUAUCGUCGCUCCUAGAGUCGCCCCCGUGAACGUGACGAGUCUUUUCCUAAAGGCCUCCCGUUUGCGGCGUAAAGUGGUGCUCGUUCUAACGGACGCGUUUCCAUUCCAAACAGUCUCUGAGUUGGCGGCGUGUUCCUGUGGAUCCACUUGGGAUUUCUCAGGAAAAUGCUGGUGGAGGAGAAAAGAUUCGUCUUUCUCCGCUCCCUUUCCAAUUCGGACCUCCAAUCAAGCAAGGCUACCCGCUGGAUUUAAGCAUAUAACUAAGCGGAGGAAAAGAAACUAACCAGGAUUCCCCUAGUAACAGCGAGUGAAGCGGGAAGAGCUCAACUUGAGAAUCUGGGUCGUUGUACGGCUCCGAAUUGUAGUCUAAAGAAACGCAGCCAUCGGCCGACGCGAGACAAGUCCCUUGGAAAAGGGCGCCCCAGAGGGUGACAGUCCCGUACAUGCUUGCGUGGGUCCGUCUACGGCGUGUUUUCGACGAGUCGAGUUGCUUGGGAUUGCAGCUCAAAGUGGGUGGUAAACUCCAUCUAAGGCUAAAUAUCGGUGGGAGACCGAUAGCGAACAAGUACCGUGAGGGAAAGAUGAAAAGAACUUUGAAAAGAGAGUUAAACAGUACGUGAAAUUGCUAAAAGGGAAACGCUUGAAGU
Molecule: ribosomal RNA, 1339 nt
Filed under: uncultured fungus
Lineage: Eukaryota; Fungi
Description: eukaryotic LSU rRNA
Rfam family: Eukaryotic large subunit ribosomal RNA (bases 908-1339)
Source: RNAcentral